This 302-nucleotide long non-coding RNA is filed under the name Mytilus galloprovincialis (Mediterranean mussel). Lineage: Eukaryota; Metazoa; Mollusca; Bivalvia; Mytilida; Mytilidae. The record is from RNAcentral.
CGUUCGCCUCGAGAGCGGGAGGUCAUUAAAUUUGUUCGAAUCCUGAACGGGUCAAACAAAGACGUUAAUUAAAUUGGUAUUCUAUUUCAACGCUUAACACGUGGCAUCAUAAAGUAAGAGCACAGACUGGCCGGCUCAGCGUCGGAAAUGUGUCCUGGUCGGGUGACUUUUCUUCCUGCGAACUAAUAUCUUGUGAACUUACACGAUAAAAAAAGACUCAGCUUGUCAGUCUAGUAAAAAACGGGGUUAAUGCUCUUAUUAUAUUUCACGUAAUCGUCCUGAAUAUUAAUUUUAUUCGCCGC